Girardinichthys multiradiatus is the source of this 716-nucleotide long non-coding RNA. RefSeq lists it as uncharacterized. The transcript has 6 exons. Lineage: Eukaryota; Metazoa; Chordata; Actinopteri; Cyprinodontiformes; Goodeidae. The record is from RefSeq and is a predicted model, not a curated record.
CGCAAGGCGGCGCUCAACCCUCCGUCUCCAGGUUCAGCUGCGGCCGUGACGUAUUUAAGCGGCGCAGAGACGUUUCUUCGGUCAUUUCUACCGCAGGCGCAGCAGAGAAGAAGGAUUGAGAUGUUCUGUUGGAGCAGCAGCUCAGACCAGGGUCCUAUUGGUCGACACAGAAAAUGGCCCUCACAGCCACCAUGGAGAUGCUGCUGAGCUGUACUACAAUGAAGACUGAGAUAUUAAGAAGGAAAACGAGAAUCUGCUCAGGAAUGACCUGCCUUCAAGUCAAAGCGGCUACGCUGGAGCCCUCCAGGUGAAGAGGCCUUCUGGAGGAAGAGCUUUCAGUUUCAGAGAUGUACAGGUUGGUGUCUGACUCUUAAUGGUUUUUAAAAUGAACUCUCGGUGAAGUGAUUGACUGUUCGCUAUGAUGACGCUUACUCCACCCAUUCGCAGUUUCCACCAGAGGUCUAAAGACCAAAGAUGGUUCAUGUCUUCCUUGGAUGUCUGAGCGAAUGUUGUCAAGCAAACUAUUACUGUCCUAAAAAUGUUGUCAAGAAGUCUUAAGCAGUGCCGCCAUGUUUUAAAUGCGCUUCCAUGGUUCUGUUGUUGGGGGCAGCAGGGUGAAGAUCUUUGAGACCCAACACCGUUUGAAUUUCCUUUAGUUGAAUCUGCCAAACAGCAGUGGACAUGAUGCCAACUAUCAACGAAUUACAGAUUUCUUC